AAGGCUUGACAUACACUGUGAGCUGCUAGAGAUAGUGGUGCAUUUGGUUGGUGGUGUACAGGUGGUGCAUGGUU
This 74-nucleotide ribosomal RNA is filed under the name uncultured Actinobaculum sp. RNAcentral describes it as "partial 16S ribosomal RNA". The record is from RNAcentral. Lineage: Bacteria; Bacillati; Actinomycetota; Actinomycetes; Actinomycetales; Actinomycetaceae.